RNAcentral lists this ribosomal RNA (567 nucleotides) under uncultured archaeon. RNAcentral's name for it is "bacterial SSU rRNA". It matches the Rfam family "Archaeal small subunit ribosomal RNA", at positions 87 to 654 of the family's 1478-position model. The record is from RNAcentral.
UGCUCAGUAACACGUGGACAACCUACCCUUAGGCCUGGGAUAACCCCGGGAAACUGGGAAUAAUACCGGAUAUAUCGCGAAUGCUGGAAUGCGUCGCGAUAGAAAGCUCCGACGCCUAAGGAUGGGUCUGCGGCCUAUCAGGGUAGUAGUGGGUGUAAUGUACCUACUAGCCUACGACGGGUACGGGUUGUGAGAGCAAGAGCCCGGAGAUGGAUUCUGAGACACGAAUCCAGGCCCUACGGGGUGCAGCAGGCGCGAAAACUUUACAAUGCUGGCAACAGCGAUAAGGGGACCUCGAGUGCCAGGAUACAAUCCUGGCUGUCGUAAUGCCUAAAAAGCAUUGCAUAGCAAGGGCCGGGCAAGACCGGUGCCAGCCGCCGCGGUAACACCGGCGGCUCGAGUGGUAACCGCUAUUAUUGGGUCUAAAGGGUCUGUAGCCGGCUGACUAAGUCUCUUGGGAAAUCUGGCAGCUUAACUGUCAGGCUUUCAGGAGAUACUGAUCGGCUCGAGACCGGGAGAGGUGAGAGGUACCUCAGGGGUAGGGGUGAAAUCUUGUAAUCCUUGAGG